This 1029-nucleotide ribosomal RNA is filed under the name Klebsiella aerogenes. RNAcentral's name for it is "bacterial SSU rRNA". It matches the Rfam family "Bacterial small subunit ribosomal RNA", at positions 69 to 1092 of the family's 1533-position model. Lineage: Bacteria; Pseudomonadati; Pseudomonadota; Gammaproteobacteria; Enterobacterales; Enterobacteriaceae. The record is from RNAcentral.
ACACAGAGAGCUUGCUCUCGGGUGACGAGCGGCGGACGGGUGAGUAAUGUCUGGGAAACUGCCUGAUGGAGGGGGAUAACUACUGGAAACGGUAGCUAAUACCGCAUAACGUCGCAAGACCAAAGUGGGGGACCUUCGGGCCUCAUGCCAUCAGAUGUGCCCAGAUGGGAUUAGCUAGUAGGUGGGGUAAUGGCUCACCUAGGCGACGAUCCCUAGCUGGUCUGAGAGGAUGACCAGCCACACUGGAACUGAGACACGGUCCAGACUCCUACGGGAGGCAGCAGUGGGGAAUAUUGCACAAUGGGCGCAAGCCUGAUGCAGCCAUGCCGCGUGUAUGAAGAAGGCCUUCGGGUUGUAAAGUACUUUCAGCGAGGAGGAAGGCGUUAAGGUUAAUAACCUUAGCGAUUGACGUUACUCGCAGAAGAAGCACCGGCUAACUCCGUGCCAGCAGCCGCGGUAAUACGGAGGGUGCAAGCGUUAAUCGGAAUUACUGGGCGUAAAGCGCACGCAGGCGGUCUGUCAAGUCGGAUGUGAAAUCCCCGGGCUCAACCUGGGAACUGCAUUCGAAACUGGCAGGCUAGAGUCUUGUAGAGGGGGGUAGAAUUCCAGGUGUAGCGGUGAAAUGCGUAGAGAUCUGGAGGAAUACCGGUGGCGAAGGCGGCCCCCUGGACAAAGACUGACGCUCAGGUGCGAAAGCGUGGGGAGCAAACAGGAUUAGAUACCCUGGUAGUCCACGCCGUAAACGAUGUCGACUUGGAGGUUGUGCCCUUGAGGCGUGGCUUCCGGAGCUAACGCGUUAAGUCGACCGCCUGGGGAGUACGGCCGCAAGGUUAAAACUCAAAUGAAUUGACGGGGGCCCGCACAAGCGGUGGAGCAUGUGGUUUAAUUCGAUGCAACGCGAAGAACCUUACCUGGUCUUGACAUCCACAGAACUUUCCAGAGAUGGAUUGGUGCCUUCGGGAACUGUGAGACAGGUGCUGCAUGGCUGUCGUCAGCUCGUGUUGUGAAAUGUUGGGUUAAGUCCCGCAA